AUUGAACGCUGGCGGCAAGCCUUACACAUGCAAGUCGAACGGCAGCACGGGAGUAAUCCUGGUGGCGAGUGGCGAACGGGUGAGUAAUAUAUCGGAACGUGCCCAGUCGUGGGGGAUAACGCAGCGAAAGCUGUGCUAAUACCGCAUACGAUCUAAGGAUGAAAGCGGGGGAUCGCAAGACCUCGCGCGAUUGGAGCGGCCGAUAUCAGAUUAGCUAGUUGGUGGGGUAAAGGCCCACCAAGGCGACGAUCUGUAGCUGGUCUGAGAGGACGACCAGCCACACUGGAACUGAGACACGGUCCAGACUCCUACGGGAGGCAGCAGUGGGGAAUUUUGGACAAUGGGCGCAAGCCUGAUCCAGCAAUGCCGCGUGCAGGAUGAAGGCCUUCGGGUUGUAAACUGCUUUUGUACGGAACGAAACGGCCCUUUCUAAUACAGUUUGCUAAUGACGGUACCGUAAGAAUAAGCACCGGCUAACUACGUGCCAGCCGCCGCAGUAA
This 500-nucleotide ribosomal RNA is filed under the name uncultured bacterium. RNAcentral describes it as "partial 16S ribosomal RNA". It matches the Rfam family "Bacterial small subunit ribosomal RNA", at positions 30 to 523 of the family's 1533-position model. The record is from RNAcentral.